RNAcentral lists this ribosomal RNA (1422 nucleotides) under Peanut witches'-broom phytoplasma NTU2011. RNAcentral's name for it is "16S ribosomal RNA". It matches the Rfam family "Bacterial small subunit ribosomal RNA". Lineage: Bacteria; Bacillati; Mycoplasmatota; Mollicutes; Acholeplasmatales; Acholeplasmataceae. The record is from RNAcentral.
GCAACCUACCCUAAAGACGAGGAUAACCAUUGGAAACAGUGGCUAAGACUGGAUAGGAAGAUAAAAGGCAUCUUGUAUCUUUUAAAAGACCUAGUUAAUAGGUAUGCUUUAGGAGGGGCUUGCGCCAUAUUAGUUAGUUGGUAGGGUAAUGGCCUACCAAGACGAUGAUGUGUAGCUGGACUGAGAGGUUGAACAGCCACAUUGGGACUGAGACACGGCCCAAACUCCUACGGGAGGCAGCAGUAGGGAAUUUUCGGCAAUGGAGGAAACUCUGACCGAGCAACGCCGCGUGAAUGACGAAGUACUUCGGUAUGUAAAGUUCUUUUAUCGAGGAAGAAAAGCAAAUGGCGAACCAUUUGUUUGCCGGUACUUGAUGAAUAAGCCCCGGCUAAUUAUGUGCCAGCAGCCGCGGUAAGACAUAAGGGGCAAGUGUUAUCCGGAAUUAUUGGGCGUAAAGGGUGCGUAGGCGGUCUAGUAAGUCAGUGGUGUAAUGGCAACGCUUAACGUUGUCCGGCUAUUGAAACUGCUAAACUUGAGUUAGAUAGAGGCGAGUGGAAUUCCAUGUGUAGCGGUAAAAUGCGUAAAUAUAUGGAGGAACACCAGAGGCGUAGGCGGCUCGCUGGGUCUUAACUGACGCUGAGGCACGAAAGCGUGGGGAGCAAACAGGAUUAGAUACCCUGGUAGUCCACGCCGUAAACGAUGAGUACUAAGUGUCGGGUUAAACCGGUACUGAAGUUAACACAUUAAGUACUCCGCCUGAGUAGUACGUACGCAAGUAUGAAACUUAAAGGAAUUGACGGGACUCCGCACAAGCGGUGGAUCAUGUUGUUUAAUUCGAAGAUACCCGAAAAACCUUACCAGGUCUUGACAUGUUUUUGCAAAAUGAUAGUAAUAUCGUGGAGGUUACCAGAAACACAGGUGGUGCAUGGUUGUCGUCAGCUCGUGUCGUGAGAUGUUAGGUUAAGUCCUAAAACGAGCGAAACCCUUAUCGUUAGUUGCCAGCACGUUAUGGUGGGGACUUUAACGAGACUGCCAAUGAUAAAUUGGAGGAAGGUGAGGAUCACGUCAAAUCAGCAUGCCCCUUAUGACCUGGGCUACAAACGUGAUACAAUGGCUGUUACAAAGGGUAGCUGAAACGCAAGUUCUUGGCCAAUCCCCAAAAACAGUCCCAGUCCGGAUUGAAGUCUGCAACUCGACUUCAUGAAGUUGGAAUCGCUAGUAAUCGCGAAUCAGCAUGUCGCGGUGAAUACGUUCUCGGGGUUUGUACACACCGCCCGUCAAACCACGAAAGUUGGCAAUACCCCAAAACGGUAGCCUAACUCGUUUAUUCGAGAGGGCGCCGUCUAAGGUAGGGUCGAUGAUUGGGGUUAAGUCGUAACAAGGUAUCCCUACCGGAAGGUGGGGAUGGAUCACCUCCUUUCU